GAAAUUUCUCUUCUCAUGUGACGACGAAAAACAAGAAAAAAUCUCACUUGAAAUAACCGUCACAGUUUUCUGCAGAAAGGUGCUGAACGUGCAGGUGAGUCAGCAGCUUUGGGAUGGUGUGCUGAUGCCCUACAUACAGCGUGAUACUGAUAGUGAGGGGAAGGUGUUGCAGCAGCAGCACGUCGCACUGGAGGAAGAGUCACCUGAUACCUGCGUGUGCCGCCGAAGCCUCUGGAGAGGCUGAGCUGCCGAGGCGAUCCCUUGUGGAGGCAGAGGGAGGGAAACGGCCGACAAAACAAACAUAAACAGAGCCGUGGCAGCUGUGUGGGGGGGCAGGCUGAGCCGCGUGCACGUUCUUGGCGGCCACAGUUUGACCUUGGCCGGGCAUGCCCAGGCCUGCCUCUCAAUGCUGGGUGGGAGACUCACCAAGCCGCCUGCAGGACUUGGACCGGCUCAAUGAGAAAAGAAAAUACCAGACCGGGCAAACAAGGGCAUAGUGGUCUCCCUCCACCUCGCUCCGUCUUUUUAAUGAUUCCUUUCUUUUUCCAUUUCUCAACACUCAUCGGAUUCCAACACACGGCUUGGCGCGGCGCCGGAGGGAAAGCUUUGAAACGCUGCUGCUUUACAUAUCUUAGACUCUACCCUCAAUAGGUGAGCUGCCGUGGCGACGACAGCGACAAAGGCCUCCGCCGCCGCACACACACCCGGUCAGGCCUGGUCCAAGCCUCAGACCCCCUCGCUGCUCGGCACAGCCAGGGAUUUCUCCCAAGCAGCCCUCCGCCGGUCUGAAACCCUGCCCCCAUUCACUGCUGCACCCCCAGCAAAGAGCCGCACAGCUCCUCUGUUGUGUUUGCGUUUAGGGCGUCCACAGAAUGACGUGAUGAGAGUGGACGUGGGAUAGAGCGGGAGAGCGAGCCUCCAGGACGGUUCCCAAACAGCUCACAGUCGGGAUGUUUCUGGCACUGCGCUUUAUCAGUCCGCUGCAGUGGGACCGUUUAACGGCAGCCGGCUGAUUUGUGAUGCAGCAGCUCGUGUUUUAUCACCACAGUCAGUCCUAUCACAUCGGGCCCAACUUCAGUUUGUCUUGUUCUGUACGUUGUGGGUUGAUGUUACAUUACGUCAUUUUAUGGGGCCCGAAGCAAAAUGCCAACCUGACCCAUGAGCCACGUAAACCACACAGCCACAAUCCUCCCUCUUUUAAAACAGUCUGCUGUCUAAGAAUUAGAUCUACACAGAACAGAAUGAAGUUUAUAUUGUAGAAAAUAGUCCAGUCCUCACAAUAUAUAUUAUACAAUGUAAACAGAAGUCUACAGACUCUGACUGAAGCUUUAAGUCUCAAAAUAUCUGCAUCAGGUCCAUUUAAACUGGAUCCACAGAUUUCCUUAUAUACACUCUGGUGUUCAUCCUCUCAUCAAGGGGGGGCGACCCUGUGCAGCCCGUAUAGGGCCGACUGACUCUGUGUUCGUGAGGUGUUAUGCAGGGCUGGCAUGACGGAUGUGUCUCAUCUUUCCAGCGAUUCCCAAUUUAGACAAUUCCAACACUGUUUAUGGACGCCAGUGUGGUUAUACCAAUAUGAUUGGUACCAAUGGAGGCAUACAUCUGGUUUCAUAUGAUACCAGUAUCUUACAGUAUGAGAAGGAUAAUGGGGUGGCCAAUCAGAUUACAGUGCCACCCCAGGUCCCCCUCUGGAAUCGGCCCUGUUUAGGUCUCAGUGGAGGCUCCACAACUGUUUGGCACUGAUAAAGAAAUGGCUAUUUAUAGCCUGUUAGCCUGCUGAUGUUAGCAUUUGUCGCACUGGAGCACAGUGACUCUUGGUCUCGUUUCUUUCCACUUCUCUUCCAAUCUUCCCAAAAACAAGGAUGGAAAGCAACGCUGGAGCUCCAGGUUUGGGUUUAAUAUGUGAUCUAAUAAGCUCUUUAGUCGGGGAAUGAUUGACUUCACGGCAGGGAGGAGAAACCAGCUUCCAAAAUGUUCAACAUUUUACCUGCAGAUCAGGAAACGGCAGUUAUUAUUUAUCCAUACUGUGUGUUUGUGGAUUCAGCUUUAAAUUAAAACUUCCCCUUUAAA
Molecule: long non-coding RNA, 2067 nt
Organism: Dicentrarchus labrax (European seabass)
Lineage: Eukaryota; Metazoa; Chordata; Actinopteri; Moronidae
Exons: 2
Source: RefSeq, a predicted model, not a curated record